Molecule: ribosomal RNA, 254 nt
Filed under: uncultured bacterium
Lineage: Bacteria
Description: partial 16S ribosomal RNA
Rfam family: Bacterial small subunit ribosomal RNA
Source: RNAcentral
UACGUAGGGGGCAAGCGUUGUCCGGAUUUAUUGGGCGUAAAAGGCUUGUAGGUGGCCACGCCAAGUCGGAUGUGAAAUCUCCCGGCUCAACUGGGAGGGGUCAUUCGAUACUGGCGGGCUCGAGGCCGGUAGGGGGAAGUGGAAUUCCCGGCGUAGUGGUGGAAUGCGUAGAUAUCGGGAGGAACACCAAUGGCGAAGGCAGCUCUCUGGGACGGUACUGACGCUGAGACGCGAAAGCGUGGGGAGCGAACAGG